RNAcentral lists this ribosomal RNA (92 nucleotides) under Pseudoalteromonas sp. P1-7a. The record is from RNAcentral. Lineage: Bacteria; Pseudomonadati; Pseudomonadota; Gammaproteobacteria; Alteromonadales; Pseudoalteromonadaceae. RNAcentral also lists the same sequence under 1 other name.
CACCUGACCCCAUGCCGAACUCAGUAGUGAAACGAAACAGCGCCGAUGAUAGUGUAGCAUUUGCUAUGUGAAAGUAGGACAUUGCCAGGAUU